This is a long non-coding RNA of Daucus carota subsp. sativus, 898 nucleotides long. RefSeq lists it as uncharacterized. The record is from RefSeq and is a predicted model, not a curated record. The transcript is spliced from 4 exons. Lineage: Eukaryota; Viridiplantae; Streptophyta; Magnoliopsida; Apiales; Apiaceae.
UAGUCAAAGUAGUGUGAUUGAUUAACGAGGAGAUGAGUGGUGGCUGAUGUGUACUUGACAUGAUUUUCGAUUUCUUUUAAGUAUUUCUCACUCCCACUGGUCUUUCUUUAGGAAUCAUGCUCAUUUAUUUAAAAAUAAUACUCUCUCUGUCCCUCCCAUUUCUUAUGGUUGGACACGGAGGUUAAGAAAUAUGUAUAAAAUAGUGAAAAAGAGAAAGAAAAAUGGGUGAAAUGGUAGGACCCAUUGAUUUUUAAUGUAUAAAAAGAAAAUAGUGGAGUAAAAGUAGUGUGAAAAGUGAAGAAGUAAUGGGACUCAUUGACUAUUUUAAGUAAAUUUUGAAAUGUAAAGAAUUGAAUGGGACAUCCAAAAAAAAAGUGUAAAAAAAUGGGAGGAACGGAGAGAGUAGUACACAAAAAUAAAUCUCGUGCGAUCAGGAUUAUGUCAAUAGGAGGUGUUUGGACAGGUUUGGCCGUUUGGGUAUUGUUUAAUAUGGACUUAACAUUGUGGUAGAGCAUCUCAGACCAUUAGAGUUUUUAGCUGAAAAUUGAGCUUGUAUACGAAAAAGAAAUAUAGUCAACUACCUCAUUGACGUUGUUGGUGUUAUGCAACGAGUAGAUCCAAUCCUUACCUACACCAACAGAUAUAAUCAGCAGAAAUCAAGCAUCAAGUUUACAAUCAAUGAUAUCAGUGCUCCAACAGAAGUUACAUUCCACGAUGAAGUGGCUGAUUCUUUUCAACAGCAGCUUAAUCAAACUGAUGAACAUCCAAUAAUUGUUAUCAUCUCAAGUUGUAAAUCUACUUUCAUUCAAGGUGAACCAAAAUUAACAAACAGGUCGGCAACAAGGUUCUUCAUCAACCAUGAUCAUGAGGCGGUGGAGGAAUUGAGAAACGCAGUCAG